AAUAUUGGACAAUGGUGGCAACCCUGAUCCAGCCAUGCCGCGUGUGUGAAGAAGGUCUUCGGAUUGUAAAGCACUUUUAGUAGGGAGGAAGGGCUUUAGGUUAAUACCCUGAAGUUUUGACGUUACCAACAGAAUAAGCACCCGCUCACUCUGUGCCAGCAUCCGCGGUAAUACAGAGGGUGCAAGCGUUAAUCGGAAUUACUGGGCGUAAAGCGCGCGUAGGUGGUUCAGUAAGAUGGGUGUGAAAUCACCGGGCUUAACCUAGGAACUGCUUUCAUAACUGCUGAGCUAGAGUACGGUAGAAGGUAGUGGAAUUUCCUGUGUAGCGGUGAAAUGCGUAGAUAUAGGAAGGAAAACCAGUGGCGAAGGCGACUACCUGGACUGAUACUGACACUGAGGUGCGAAAGCGUGGGGAGCAAACAGG
RNAcentral lists this ribosomal RNA (424 nucleotides) under uncultured bacterium. Its description in RNAcentral is "partial 16S ribosomal RNA". It matches the Rfam family "Bacterial small subunit ribosomal RNA", at positions 360 to 776 of the family's 1533-position model. The record is from RNAcentral.